GACGAACGCUGGCGGCGUGCUUAACACAUGCAAGUCGAGCGGUAAGGCCCUUUUGGGGGUACACGAGCGGCGAACGGGUGAGUAACACGUGGGUGACCUGCCCUCAGCUCUGGGAUAAGCCUGGGAAACUGGGUCUAAUACUGGAUAUGACCUUUCCUCGCAUGGGGUUGGGUGGAAAGUUUUUCGGCUGGGGAGUGGGCCCGCGGCCUAUCAGCUUGUUGGUGGGGUGAUGGCCUACCAAGGCGACGACGGGUAGCCGGCCUGAGAGGGCGACCGGCCACACUGGGACUGAGACACGGCCCAGACUCCCACGGGAGGCAGCAGUGGGGAAUAUUGCGCAAUGGGCGGAAGCCUGACGCAGCGACGCCGCGUGGGGGA
This 378-nucleotide ribosomal RNA is filed under the name uncultured bacterium. RNAcentral's name for it is "bacterial SSU rRNA". It matches the Rfam family "Bacterial small subunit ribosomal RNA", at positions 28 to 408 of the family's 1533-position model. The record is from RNAcentral.